This 1413-nucleotide ribosomal RNA is filed under the name metagenome. RNAcentral's name for it is "bacterial SSU rRNA". It matches the Rfam family "Bacterial small subunit ribosomal RNA". The record is from RNAcentral.
GCGAGUGGCGAACGGGUGAGUAAUGUAUCGGAGCGUACCUUUCAGUGGGGGAUAACGUAGCGAAAGUUACGCUAAUACCGCAUAUUCUGUGAGCAGGAAAGCAGGGGAUCGCAAGACCUUGCGCUGAUUGAGCGGCCGAUAUCAGAUUAGCUAGUUGGUGAGGUAAAGGCUCACCAAGGCGACGAUCUGUAGCGGGUCUGAGAGGAUGAUCCGCCACACUGGAACUGAGACACGGUCCAGACUCCUACGGGAGGCAGCAGUGGGGAAUCUUGGACAAUGGGCGCAAGCCUGAUCCAGCCAUGCCGCGUGAGUGAAGAAGGCCUUCGGGUUGUAAAGCUCUUUCAGCCGGGAAGAAAACGCAUGGGUUAAUACCCUGUGUGGAUGACGGUACCGGAAUAAGAAGCACCGGCUAACUACGUGCCAGCAGCCGCGGUAAUACGUAGGGUGCGAGCGUUAAUCGGAAUUACUGGGCGUAAAGCGUGCGCAGGCGGUUUGUUAAGAUAGGCGUGAAAUCCCCGGGCUCAACCUGGGAACUGCGUUUAUGACUGGCAGGCUAGAGUAUGGCAGAGGGGGGUGGAAUUCCACGUGUAGCAGUGAAAUGCGUAGAGAUGUGGAGGAACACCGAUGGCGAAGGCAGCCCCCUGGGCCAAUACUGACGCUCAUGCACGAAAGCGUGGGUAGCAAACAGGAUUAGAUACCCUGGUAGUCCACGCCCUAAACGAUGUCAACUAGGUGUUGGGAGGGUAAAACCUUUUAGUACCGGAGCUAACGCGUGAAGUUGACCGCCUGGGGAGUACGGCCGCAAGGUUAAAACUCAAAGGAAUUGGCGGGGACCCGCACAAGCGGUGGAUGAUGUGGAUUAAUUCGAUGCAACGCGAAAAACCUUACCUACCCUUGACAUGUCCGGAAGCCCUUAGAGAUUUGGGUGUGCUCGAAAGAGAGCCGGAACACAGGUGCUGCAUGGCUGUCGUCAGCUCGUGUCGUGAGAUGUUGGGUUAAGUCCCGCAACGAGCGCAACCCUUGUCGUUAAUUGCCAUCAUUUAGUUGGGCACUUUAACGAGACUGCCGGUGACAAACCGGAGGAAGGUGGGGAUGACGUCAAGUCCUCAUGGCCCUUAUGGGUAGGGCUUCACACGUCAUACAAUGGUCGGUACAAAGGGUCGCCAACCCGCGAGGGGGGAGCCAAUCCCAGAAAGCCGAUCGUAGUCCGGAUCGUAGGCUGCAACUCGCCUGCGUGAAGUCGGAAUCGCUAGUAAUCGUGGAUCAGCAUGUCACGGUGAAUACGUUCCCGGGUCUUGUACACACCGCCCGUCACACCAUGGGAGCGGGUUCCGCCAGAAGUAGGUAGCCUAACCGCAAGGAGGGCGCUUACCACGGCGGGGUUCGUGGCUGGGGUGAAGUCGUAACAAGGUA